This 83-nucleotide ribosomal RNA is filed under the name uncultured bacterium. Its description in RNAcentral is "partial 16S ribosomal RNA". The record is from RNAcentral.
CCCUGAUCCAGCCAUUCCGCGUGAGUGAAGAAGGCCUUCGGGUUGUAAAGCUCUUUCGGCAGGAACGAAACGGUCCCCUCUAA